Molecule: ribosomal RNA, 472 nt
Filed under: uncultured organism
Description: partial 16S ribosomal RNA
Rfam family: Bacterial small subunit ribosomal RNA
Source: RNAcentral
ACACUCCUACGGGAGGCAGCAGUGGGGAAUUUUGGACAAUGGGCGAAAGCCUGAUCCAGCAAUGCCGCGUGAGUGAAGAAGGCCUUCGGGUUGUAAAGCUCUUUUGUCAGGGAAGAAACGGUGAAAGCUAAUAUCUUUUGCUAAUGACGGUACCUGAAGAAUAAGCACCGGCUAACUCCGUGCCAGCAGCCGCGGUAAUACGUAGGGUGCAAGCGUUAAUCGGAAUUACUGGGCGUAAAGCGUGCGCAGGCGGUUUUGUAAGUCUGAUGUGAAAUCCCCGGGCUCAACCUGGGAAUUGCAUUGGAGACUGCAAGGCUAGAAUCUGGCAGAGGGGGGUAGAAUUCCACGUGUAGCAGUGAAAUGCGUAGAUAUGUGGAGGAACACCGAUGGCGAAGGCAGCCCCCUGGGUCAAGAUUGACGCUCAUGCACGAAAGCGUGGGGAGCAAACAGGAUUAGAAACCCUGGUAGUCCC